RNAcentral lists this ribosomal RNA (304 nucleotides) under uncultured bacterium. Its description in RNAcentral is "partial 16S ribosomal RNA". It matches the Rfam family "Bacterial small subunit ribosomal RNA", at positions 509 to 807 of the family's 1533-position model. The record is from RNAcentral.
CAGCAGCCGCCACGGUAAUACAGAGGGUGCGAGCGUUAAUCGGAUUUACUGGGCGUAAAGCGUGCGUAGGCGGCUUUUUAAGUCGGAUGUGAAAUCCCUGAGCUUAACUUAGGAAUUGCAUUCGAUACUGGGAAGCUAGAGUAUGGGAGAGGAUGGUAGAAUUCCAGGUGUAGCGGUGAAAUGCGUAGAGAUCUGGAGGAAUACCGAUGGCGAAGGCAGCCAUCUGGCCUAAUACUGACGCUGAGGUACGAAAGCAUGGGGAGCAAACAGGAUUAGAUACCCCGGUAGUCCCUGUCUCUUAUAC